This 406-nucleotide ribosomal RNA is filed under the name uncultured bacterium. Its description in RNAcentral is "partial 16S ribosomal RNA". It matches the Rfam family "Bacterial small subunit ribosomal RNA", at positions 30 to 526 of the family's 1533-position model. The record is from RNAcentral.
AUUGAACGCUGGCGGCAGGCCUAACACAUGCAAGUCGAGCGAGCGGCGGACGGGUGAGUAAUGUCUGGGAAACUGCCUGAUGGAGGGGGAUAACUACUGGAAACGGUAGCUAAUACCGCAUACCAUCAGAUGUGCCCAGAUGGGAUUAGCUAGUAGGUGGGGUAACGGCCCACCUAGGCGAAGAUCCCUAGCUGGUCUUAGAGGAUGACCAGCCACACUGUAACUGAGAGACGGUCAAGACUCCUCCGGGAGGCAGCAGUGGGGAAUAUUGCACAAUGGGCGCAAGCCUGAUGCAGCCAUGCCGCGUGUAUGAAGAAGGCCUUCGGGUUGUAAAGUACUUUCAGCGGGGAGGCGUUACCCGCAGAAGAAGCACCGGCUAACUCCGUGCCAGCAGCCGCGGUAAUUC